AUACGGAGGAUCCGAGCGUUAUCCGGAUUUAUUGGGUUUAAAGGGUGCGCAGGCGGCCAUUUAAGUCAGCGGUUAAAUCGUGGGGCUCAACCCCAUUCUGCCGUUGAUACUGGGUGGCUUGAUUGCGGUCGAGGUUGGCAGAAUUCGUUGUGUAGCGGUGAAAUGCAUAGAUAUGACGAAGAACACCGAUUGCGUAGGCAGCUGACCAGACCGCAAAUGACGCUCAUGCACGAAAGUGCGGGGAUCGAACAGGAUUAGAUACCCUGGUAGUCCGCACAGUAAACGAUGAAUACUUGUUUUCGGCGAUAUAAUGUCGGAGGCAAAGCGAAAGCGAUAAGUAUUCCACCUGGGGAGUACGCCGGCAACGGUGAAACUCAAAGGAAUUGACGGGG
RNAcentral lists this ribosomal RNA (392 nucleotides) under uncultured bacterium. Its description in RNAcentral is "partial 16S ribosomal RNA". It matches the Rfam family "Bacterial small subunit ribosomal RNA", at positions 523 to 918 of the family's 1533-position model. The record is from RNAcentral.